GCUUGUCCCACGCUGCUUCCCUGCAGAUUCGUGAUGCUGUUCUUGCGGGAGAACAAUCCACUCGUGUGUAGCUGUCCAUGUUCUUCACCUCCUUCUCUGGGAGCAGAGAGCCAGGAGGUCACCUCUAAUCUGCCAUUUUUCAGGACCACCUCCCCCAAGGCUCUAUUUCUGAAAGAAGAUUGCAAGGAAGCAGGCAGGAGAGUGCAUGCUCUGGAGACCAUAAUACAAUAAUAGGAGGAAAAGUCUCCAGAUGGCCUUGGCUGACCUAUCUCUUACCCUCUUGCUUAUAAUUCUGAGCCAGAAUUCACUGAGUAUGCAGCAUUUAAAAUAAUGGGGAAAUGUCCAGACUAAUUCAGGCUAUGUACUCACUCCUCCUAAAACAGAAUAUUCUGCAAUGCUUGAGCUCUGUGGGCCUGUUGGAGCCCAAGGUAUACAAACCUAGGGCAGAGGGCUUUUGGGGUCUCACAGCUGGGGUGCAGCUUGGGCAAGUGCAGAGGAGACUCUGUCUGCCCUGGGCAACUUUCCAGAACCAUGGAGAUGGGCUCUCCAUGGAUUCUAGGCUCCAGUUUAUCCUUGCUGCCUAUCUGUGAGUAAU
This is a long non-coding RNA of Lemur catta (Ring-tailed lemur), 595 nucleotides long. RefSeq lists it as uncharacterized. Lineage: Eukaryota; Metazoa; Chordata; Mammalia; Primates; Lemuridae. The transcript is spliced from 3 exons. The record is from RefSeq and is a predicted model, not a curated record.